CAGUCGCCACGGUAACACGGAGGGUGCAAGCGUUAAUCGGAAUUACUGGGCGUAAAGCGCACGCAGGCGGUUUGUUAAGUCAGAUGUGAAAUCCCCGGGCUCAACCUGGGAACUGCAUCUGAUACUGGCAAGCUUGAGUCUCGUAGAGGGGGGUAGAAUUCCAGGUGUAGCGGUGAAAUGCGUAGAGAUCUGGAGGAAUACCGGUGGCGAAGGCGGCCCCCUGGACGAAGACUGACGCUCAGGUGCGAAAGCGUGGGGAGCAAACAGGAUUAGAUACCCGAGUAGUCCCUGUCUCUUAUAC
Molecule: ribosomal RNA, 301 nt
Filed under: uncultured bacterium
Lineage: Bacteria
Description: partial 16S ribosomal RNA
Rfam family: Bacterial small subunit ribosomal RNA
Source: RNAcentral